Molecule: non-coding RNA, 127 nt
Organism: Xylaria digitata
Lineage: Eukaryota; Fungi; Ascomycota; Sordariomycetes; Xylariales; Xylariaceae
Source: the annotation of a GenBank genome assembly
UCUCGAUUGGUCUAGUGGUCAGGAUACCUGCUUGUCACUAGUCGUUGCGAAUUCCACGAUUGUGGAUGCUAGUAACGAUCUAAGAGCAAAACCGCAGGUGGCCGGGGUUCGAUUCCCCGAUCGAGAG